Molecule: ribosomal RNA, 492 nt
Filed under: uncultured bacterium
Lineage: Bacteria
Description: partial 16S ribosomal RNA
Rfam family: Bacterial small subunit ribosomal RNA
Source: RNAcentral
AGUGAACGCUGGCGGUAGGCCUAACACAUGCAAGUCGAACGGCAGCACAGUAAGAGCUUGCUCUUACGGGUGGCGAGUGACGGACGGGUGAGGAAUACAUCGGAAUCUACUUUUUCGUGGGGGAUAACGUAGGGAAACUUACGCUAAUACCGCAUACGACCUACGGGUGAAAGCAGGGGAUCUUCGGACCUUGCGCGAUUGAAUGAGCCGAUGUCGGAUUAGCUAGUUGGCGGGGUAAAGGCCCACCAAGGCGACGAUCCGUAGCUGGUCUGAGAGGAUGAUCAGCCACACUGGAACUGAGACACGGUCCAGACUCCUACGGGAGGCAGCAGUGGGGAAUAUUGGACAAUGGGCGCAAGCCUGAUCCAGCCAUACCGCGUGGGUGAAGAAGGCCUUCGGGUUGUAAAGCCCUUUUGUUGGGAAAGAAAAGCAGCAGGUUAAUACCCCGCUGUUCUGACGGUACCCAAAGAAUAAGCACCGGCUAACCUCGUG